UCAGAUCAGAUGGAGAGUAUAAGAGGUGCCAAAUACCAAUACUAGUUGACAUAUUGCGUACGAAAAGUAGAGUGCACAUCUUACACUUCAUUUAUCUUACAUAUCAAUUAAAAAAUUCAGAAACAACUGAUCGUUCCUAGAGCAAGUGACAAAGAACUUUAUAAUUGGUACCCGAUGUAUCAUGUUCGAAUCCUAGUUGAUUUAUAUUUCUAGCUAAGUUUAUUUCUAAAUGAAAUAAACGAAACGGAUAGCAUGCUACCUAUCUCUCAAAAAAGAAAAAUCGAAAGCAUCAUAGGAUCCACU
This 303-nucleotide long non-coding RNA is filed under the name Ananas comosus (pineapple). Its description in RNAcentral is "long non-coding RNA (ACOM_LNC016065)". The record is from RNAcentral. Lineage: Eukaryota; Viridiplantae; Streptophyta; Magnoliopsida; Poales; Bromeliaceae.